UGAAGUCCAAUAUAUGGAUAGACACAAAUAUCUAAUGAUCCAUUUGACUGCAUUGUAAUGGAAAAUUUCUGACACAACUCUCUGAGGUCUGAAUAGAACUGGCAUUGGAGUUAAUGGCAGUUGGUUGUCCACUUGUAGCCCACACAUUCUGAGUUUGAAUCUGGAACACAGGAGAUAUUGUAUUUUCAAAAUCAAAAUUCGUAAAUAAUGCGAUAACCAGACAAAAAUGUCUUAUAAAAUUAUUUUCAAAUUUCUGGAAAAUGGACGAGUUAUACCAGUCAACAAGAUAUUAGGUUUGCACUGUACUUUCACCAGGAAACUAGAGAAAAUGUACGUGAAAAAAUAUAAAUGCAAAUCUUACCUA
Molecule: long non-coding RNA, 364 nt
Filed under: Trifolium pratense (red clover)
Lineage: Eukaryota; Viridiplantae; Streptophyta; Magnoliopsida; Fabales; Fabaceae
Description: long non-coding RNA (TPRA_LNC011056)
Source: RNAcentral